ACUCAUUGGCUGGAGGUGAAGGGGAUGAUCCCAGUCAAACUUGUUCAUCGAGAGGUCUCUCUGGAUUUGGUCCUCUUGCACCUGAGGAUCAUAUAUGCUCAACCUAGCCUUAUCCCCCAACAGUCCCUUGCAUACAUCAAUAGCAGGGGUCUCUCGGGUAUCACCAGUGUCUUUCUUGAAAGCAAAACCUAGGAUUGCAACUUUCUUGUUUGAGACUGUGUUGAACAUAGAGGCUACAACGCGGUUGACAAAACGAUUCUUCUGAUAGUCAUUGAUCUUGAUAACUUGUUUCCAGUAUUCAGCAACCUCAGGCAGACCAUUGCACUCNNNNNNNNNNNNNNNNNNNNNNNNNGCAAAUGUAAACCAGGUUCAGAAUAUCCUUCUGGAAGCAAGAUCCACCAAAACCAACACUAGCGUUGAGGAACUUGGGACCAAUCCUUGAGUCCUUACCAACAGCAUAUGACACCUGUGAAACAUUUGCGCCAGUAGCCUCACAUAGAGCUGACAUAGCAUUCACCGAAGAGAUUCUUUGUGCCAAGAAUGCAUUGGCAGCCAACUUUGAGAGCUCAGCGGACCACAAGUUGGUGGUAAUGAUACAGUCUUCAGGAACCCAAUGAGCAUAAACAUCCUUCAAUGUUUGGAUAGCCUUCUGGCCUCCUGGAGUUUCCCGGCCUCCAAUUAGGACUCUGUCAGGUUUAAAGAGGUCUUCGAUUGCGGUACCCUCUGCAAGAAAUUCAGGGUUUGAGAGGAUCUGGAAGUUAAUUCCCUUGCUGUUGUGGGUCAAGAUUUUUUCAAUUGCCUCAGCAGUUUUGACUGGAACAGUUGAUUUCUCAACAACUAUUUUGUCAGAUUUCGAGACAUCGGCAAUCAUACGGGCUGCACUCUCCCAGUAAGUAAGAUCUGCAGCCUUGCCUGCUCCAAGACCCCUAGUCUUGGUAGGAGUGUUGACAGAAACAAAAACUAUAUCAGCCUCACGUACAUGUUUCUCCACAUCUGUGCUGAAGAAGAGGUUCUUGCCUCGGCACUGCUUAACUACAUCGUCAAGGCCUGGCUCAUAGAUGGGAAGCUGGUCACUGUUCCAGGCAGUGAUGCGAGGCACGGAGAUAUCAACAACAGCCACUUCAAUGUUAG
Molecule: long non-coding RNA, 1131 nt
Filed under: Nicotiana tabacum (common tobacco)
Lineage: Eukaryota; Viridiplantae; Streptophyta; Magnoliopsida; Solanales; Solanaceae
Description: long non-coding RNA (NTAB_LNC017351)
Source: RNAcentral